AGCAGUAUAGUGUAUUGUGAGCACACGGGGAUUCUGUACAACCUAGAAUUUCUAGUCCGUACCCUGAGGUCCUUGUUCGAAUCAAGGUGCUGCCG
Non-coding RNA from Mycena rosella, 95 nucleotides. NCBI's taxonomy places the organism in Eukaryota, Fungi, Basidiomycota, Agaricomycetes, Agaricales, Mycenaceae. The record is from the annotation of a GenBank genome assembly.